ACGCUCGACACCUACGGGAGGCAGCAGUGAGGGAUAUUGGUCAAUGGGGGAAACCCUGAACCAGCAACGCCGCGUGAGGGAUGACGGCCUUCGGUUGUAAACCUCUGUCCUCUGCGAAGAUAAUGACGGUAGUAGAGGAGGAAGCUCCGGCUAACUACGUGCCAGCAGCCGAGGUAAUCUGAGGCGGGCUGGCAAGGC
This 198-nucleotide ribosomal RNA is filed under the name uncultured bacterium. RNAcentral's name for it is "partial 16S ribosomal RNA". It matches the Rfam family "Bacterial small subunit ribosomal RNA", at positions 328 to 539 of the family's 1533-position model. The record is from RNAcentral.